This 712-nucleotide ribosomal RNA is filed under the name uncultured Gammaproteobacteria bacterium. Its description in RNAcentral is "bacterial SSU rRNA". It matches the Rfam family "Bacterial small subunit ribosomal RNA", at positions 8 to 718 of the family's 1533-position model. Lineage: Bacteria; Pseudomonadati; Pseudomonadota; Gammaproteobacteria. The record is from RNAcentral.
AGAGUUUGAUCCUGGCUCAGAUUGAACGCUGGCGGCAGGCUUAACACAUGCAAGUCGAACGAUGAAACUCUAGCUUGCUAGAGAAGAUUAGUGGCGGACGGGUGAGUAACAUUUAGGAAUCUGCCUAGUAGUGGGGGAUAGCUCGGGGAAACUCGAAUUAAUACCGCAUACGACCUACGGGUGAAAGGGGGCGCAAGCUCUUGCUAUUAGAUGAGCCUAAAUCAGAUUAGCUAGUUGGUGGGGUAAAGGCCCACCAAGGCGACGAUCUGUAACUGGUCUGAGAGGAUGAUCAGUCACACCGGAACUGAGACACGGUCCGGACUCCUACGGGAGGCAGCAGUGGGGAAUAUUGGACAAUGGGGGCAACCCUGAUCCAGCCAUGCCGCGUGUGUGAAGAAGGCCUUUUGGUUGUAAAGCACUUUAAGCAGGGAGGAGAGGCUAAUGGUUAAUACCCAUUAGAUUAGACGUUACCUGCAGAAUAAGCACCGGCUAACUCUGUGCCAGCAGCCGCGGUAAUACAGAGGGUGCGAGCGUUAAUCGGAAUUACUGGGCGUAAAGCGAGUGUAGGUGGCUCAUUAAGUCACAUGUGAAACCCCCGGGCUUAACCUGGGAACUGCAUGUGAUACUGGUGGUGCUAGAAUAUGUGAGAGGGAAGUAGAAUUCCAGGUGUAGCGGUGAAAUGCGUAGAGAUCUGGAGGAAUACCGAUGGCGA